RNAcentral lists this microRNA (22 nucleotides) under Xenopus laevis (African clawed frog). RNAcentral describes it as "Xla-Mir-184-P3_3p (mature (guide))". RNAcentral also lists the same sequence under 1 other name. The record is from RNAcentral. Lineage: Eukaryota; Metazoa; Chordata; Amphibia; Anura; Pipidae.
UGGACGGAGAACUGAUAAGGCU